This is a long non-coding RNA of Egretta garzetta (little egret), 1047 nucleotides long. RefSeq lists it as uncharacterized. The transcript has 3 exons. The record is from RefSeq and is a predicted model, not a curated record. NCBI's taxonomy places the organism in Eukaryota, Metazoa, Chordata, Aves, Pelecaniformes, Ardeidae.
UUUGUGGAGUUUGCAGACUGCUGUUUGAGAAUUGUUGAACCUCCAGAGAAGGAGAACGUUCUGCCCGAGCAUGGAAGAACCCUGGACUGGUGACACACGGUCCGCUUAAUCCUCAGCUGAAAGGUCUGCUAACAAAGCGUUUGCCUGCGCCAGCGAUGAUUCACUGAAAAUCAGACCAAGAACAUUACCCAGCUUUACAUGGCCUGAAGGAUUUAUUUGGAGCAAGGUUCCAGUUAAUGGAAAGAGCAUUGCGGUAACGUAUGUGCCAUGUGGAUGAAUUCGGCAAGGACUGAAGCACAUCUACUAGAGUAGCAGCCCAGGCCUGGCGGGGACGCUGCAGCUUUCAGAGCACUCAGGUGAGAACUGGAAUUAGCAGUGUGUGACCAGUCAGGCAAGCGACCGCAGUGUAUUUAGCACGGUGCAAAUACCUUCUCCACUGUGAAACAACACAACUCGUGUACAUCCUCGUUCAAAAAAAUGAAAUGUGUGCGGUGUGUUUUGGCCUUUAAAGGUACCAGCGUGACAACUGGGUUUAUGAAGCUGCUCUCCUGCGGCUGAAGGCCUCCACCAGGUACCACGUGCUAUUGAUGUUCGGGUUACAAGGUUCUGUUGGGCCCUCUGCCUUCGCACUACGGUCUAAGGUCUAGAAGCUCUGGACCCAUUUAGGUACUUUAUGCUUGGUGAAAGGAAUUAAUGUAGUUAUAAGCAGCAGCUUCCAAGAGAAUAUAAAUUUAGGCUACACUUAACCUCAAAAACUGAGUUUUAAGCAUUCAGCUCUCUGAGGGAAUGCAAACAGUCUAACAGAGCCAACGGAGCUGUAUAAGAGGGAACAGAUUUCCAGUACCCUAGGAGAGAAAGCUGUCUCAUUCCACCAGCUGCCCCACACUCUCCUCUUUAAAAAAGCAAUUGUUACUCACAUCCUACUGAUUUCUGUGGCAUUACUUACUUGACUGAUGGUUGCAAUCUGACCAGAAACACAGAAAUACAAGUAAAGGGACAAAAGAUGCUGGUUUAAAAUUCAAUGUUUGAUAUUUGAUCUUAGCGAGG